Molecule: long non-coding RNA, 985 nt
Organism: Lagenorhynchus albirostris (white-beaked dolphin)
Lineage: Eukaryota; Metazoa; Chordata; Mammalia; Artiodactyla; Delphinidae
Exons: 3
Source: RefSeq, a predicted model, not a curated record
GUGGCUACUGUGACCCUCACCUCUACCGCAUGCCCGGGUCGGACCAGUUCCGUCGGAUACGGUGACGUGGAGAGGGCACCUGGUCUCUCCGGCUCGGGUCUUCGUCUAGUGGGUGACACGUUAAUCAGCGUGCAGUUACCGUGGUCCUGAGGGAUGAAGGCCAAGGAACUUGGCGUAGACUGGAAGGCUUCCUGGAGGAGAAAGGGGAAACUGGAGACAGACAAGCACACAGGGAGAACGAUCAUGAACAUGGAUGGCCAUCUGCAAGCUUAGGAGAGCGGCCUGGAGCAGACUCACUCCCUCAACGGCUCUGGGGGAAGCAGCCUCUGACACCGUGAUCCUGGACUUCUGGAUUCCAGAGCAGUGGGGAGAUAAAUUUCUGUUGUUUAAGCCGCCAGGUUUAUUUAUGGUUCCUGGAAUAGGCGCUAGAGGGGGCUGCAACCCAGACCUGCCGACAGGCCACUCACUGAGUACACAAUCACUGCCUCAGCAUCUGUUCUGUGUGGCCCGCUGCCUGCGGGGCCUUGAACUGACAGGAGCCCUCCCUCGAGUGCGUGACCUAGAUGACAGCCCGCAGAGUCACCAGUAAACCGAAGUUCCUGAUGUGACCCCCCACCCAACACCCUUGUGAUAACCUCUCUCCCUGUGGGCCCCAUAGAUUAAACCCCUGUGAAGCUCACCAAAACCCUGCUCCCUCUGCUUUGAACUGACCUAUCCAGCCUUAGCCCAGGAACCCCAAAGCACAGCCCUGUGGACCUAAUACAGGUGUGCGCCCCGGGUCCCGACUCCUGGGCACUCUGCCUGUACCUCCUCCAGGACCUGUGAGUCGUAAGCUUCUCUGUUCCGCUGUUUCUUGAGGUCUUCGUUGAACCACCAGGCAGCCUGGCCACAUGCCUUCUGACACUGCAGGCAGCACCCACAGGGGUGGAGUGAUAGCCGGGGCAGCACCGGGAGAAUGGAGCAGACAGGAAGGGCAUUGCAAGGG